CCCACACCCUUCUCUCUCUUUCUCAGACCUGUGCCCUCAGUAGGGAGAUGAUGCCUGGGGCUGCUCCCCUGGACUCUGCCCCAGGCCCCAGGCUCCUCUGUGGUGUUGUCCUGUGUCUCCUGGGAGCAGGUGUGGUGCAUGCUGGGGUCCUCCAGUCCCCCAGACACCUGAUCAAAGCCAAGGGAGGAAAGGCCACUCUGCAGUGCUCUCCUGACUCUGGACAUAAUACUGUGUACUGGUACCAGCAGGCCGAGGACCAGAGAUUCCAGUUCCUCAUUUCCUAUUAUCGAGAGUCAGAGAGAGAGAAAGGAAGCAUCCCUGGCCACUUCUCAGCUCGGCAGUUCAGUGACUAUCACUCUGAGCUGAACAUGAGCGCCUUGGAGCUGAGGGACUCUGCGCUAUAUCUGUGUGCCAGCAGCUUGCACAGCCCUGCACAGGGACUGGCUUUCUCUACCCAAACCUUCCUGCCCCAGCUGAGGAUGUCACUGAGGGGACACAUGGAGGCUGCCAUCACCCAACGUCCAAGACACAAGCUCACAGAGACAGGAAGACAGGUGAAUUUGAGCUGUCGCCAGAAUGACAACCAUGACUACAUGUACUGGUAUCGACAAGACCCUGGGCUUGGGUUGAGGCUGCUCUAUUACUCAAAUAGAGAGAGGAACACUGUAAAAGGAGACAUCCCGGAUAGGUACAGCGUGUCCAGACCACGCACGGAGGAGUUCUCCCUCACUGUGGACUCAGCCACCCCCUCCUACACAGCUGUGUACUGGUGUGCCAGCAGUUUCCCCACAGUGCUGUGCGGCUGCCUCCUCUCUGCACAGAAAGUGUGA
Non-coding RNA from Dipodomys ordii (Ord's kangaroo rat), 830 nucleotides. Lineage: Eukaryota; Metazoa; Chordata; Mammalia; Rodentia; Heteromyidae. The record is from the annotation of a RefSeq genome assembly.